CCCAUCACUUAAUCCGAUUGGAAGGUGAUGAAAAGCAACCGCACUUAAACAAUGGUAAGAGGAGCGAAGCGAGUCAAACCACCCAAAAGAAGCAGUGGGAUUAAGUGAUGGG
Molecule: unclassified non-coding RNA, 112 nt
Filed under: Haemophilus influenzae PittEE
Lineage: Bacteria; Pseudomonadati; Pseudomonadota; Gammaproteobacteria; Pasteurellales; Pasteurellaceae
Also listed under: 1 other name
Description: intervening sequence
Source: RNAcentral